This 253-nucleotide ribosomal RNA is filed under the name uncultured bacterium. RNAcentral describes it as "partial 16S ribosomal RNA". It matches the Rfam family "Bacterial small subunit ribosomal RNA", at positions 524 to 776 of the family's 1533-position model. The record is from RNAcentral.
UACAGAGGUGACAAACGUUGUCCGGAAUUAUUGGGCGUAAAGAGCUCGUAGGUGGUUUGCUGCGUCCGCUGUGAAAACCCAAGGCUUAACCUUGGGCUUGCAGUGGAUACGGGCAGACUAGAGGUAGGUAGGGGAGAGUGGAAUUCCCGGUGUAGCGGUGAAAUGCGCAGAUAUCGGGAGGAACACCGGUGGCGAAGGCGGUUCUCUGGGCCUUACCUGACACUGAGGAGCGAAAGCGUGGGGAGCGAACAGG